RNAcentral lists this long non-coding RNA (1080 nucleotides) under Pan troglodytes (chimpanzee). RNAcentral's name for it is "lincRNA". The record is from RNAcentral. Lineage: Eukaryota; Metazoa; Chordata; Mammalia; Primates; Hominidae.
AGUUGAAGUGGCAGGAAAUUUUUACAUAGGAGAGUAUGGUGAUCAUAUUUGCAUUUUAGAAAAUAAUGGAUAGCAGUUUGUUAGGGGAACAAAGGACAGAGACAGGGAGACUAUUUAAAACAUUAAUAAAAAAUACCCGUGACAGAUGAUGAGGCAUCUACCUGAUGGGAAUGGAGAAGAGGAGAUGGAUUCAGAAACUACUUAGGAGAGGCAGGCAGUCCAAGGCUGAUGCCCAAAGAAGCCAUCAAGACCCGUGCUACUUCCAGCUCCUUCUGUCCUCAUAAUCAUAGAUGAUUGCUCCACAUCCAGAGUCUCGCUCAGUUUCCAGGCUGGAGUGUAAUGGCGUGAUCUUGGCUCACUGCAACCUCUGCCUCCCAGCUUCAAGUGAUUCCCCUGCUUUAGCCUCCCAAGCAGCUGGGACUACAGGCAUGCACCAGCAUGGCCGGCUAAUUUUUUUUUAUAUUUUAGUACAGAUGGGGUUUAACCAUGUUGGCCAGGAUGAUCUUGAUCUCCUGACCUCGUGAUCUGCCCACCUCAGCCUCCCAAAGUGCUAGGAUUACAGGCGUGAGCCACCUUGCCCGGCCUUCUAUUCCUUUUUCUAAUGCAUUUGCCCCAGCUAUCUGUAUAGCCUGCAAUCUGGUAGAUGGACCACAGGGAAACCACUGCAGCAAACUAAAAGUGUCUAUCUCAGAUCCUUCCACCACCAUCAUUUCCAAAAUCACCGUCACUAUCUCCACCACCAUGACCUUUACCACCAUCACCACUAUCAUCCUCAUCCUUCCCAUCACCAUCUCCACUGCUAUCUCUCAACACCAUCAUCAUCACCACCACCACCAUCAUCACCAUGAGCACCACCUCUGUCAUCAUCAAAAAAGCACACAGUUCAGGCUGGCCUGUUGGAGGAUAACAGAUCAUGUGGAGCAGAGACGAGCUGGCCCACCUCAGGCCCUACCAGAGCAAUCAGCUUGCCAAACACGACAUACAUCAGCGAGGCCAUCCUAGACCAUCCAGCCCUAGCUGAGCCAGCCCAGACCAGAGACUCAUGAGAGACAGUAAAAUGUUCAUCAUUUUAAGCCACUA